GAUGAACGCUAGCUACAGGCUUAACACAUGCAAGUCGAGGGGAAACGACAUCGAAAGCUUGCUUUUGAUGGGCGUCGACCGGCGCACGGGUGAGUAACGCGUAUCCAACCUGCCCACCACUUGGGGAUAACCUUGCGAAAGUAAGACUAAUACCCAAUGGCGUCUCUAGAAGACAUCUGAAGGAGAUUAAAGAUUUAUCGGUGAUGGAUGGGGAUGCGUCUGAUUAGCUUGUUGGCGGGGUAACGGCCCACCAAGGCGACGAUCAGUAGGGGGUCUGAGAGGAAGGUCCCCCACAUUGGAACUGGGACACGGUCCAAACUCCUACGGGAGGCAGCAGUGAGGAAUAUUGGUCAAUGGACGCGAGUCUGAACCAGCCAAGUAGCGUGCAGGAAGACGGCCCUAUGGGUUGUAAACUGCUUUUAUAAGGGAAUAAAGUGAGUCUCGUGAGACUUUUUGCAUGUACCUUAUGAAUAAGGACCGGAUAAUUCCGUGCCAGCCGCCGCUGUAA
RNAcentral lists this ribosomal RNA (508 nucleotides) under uncultured bacterium. Its description in RNAcentral is "partial 16S ribosomal RNA". It matches the Rfam family "Bacterial small subunit ribosomal RNA", at positions 28 to 523 of the family's 1533-position model. The record is from RNAcentral.